UACGGAGGGUGCGAGCGUUGUCCGGAUUUAUUGGGUUUAAAGGGUGCGUAGGCGGCCGUAUAAGUCAGGGGUGAAAGUCUUCUGCUCAACAGAAGAACUGCCUUUGAUACUGUAUGGCUUGAGUGCCGUCUGGGUACAUGGAAUUUAUGGUGUAGCGGUGAAAUGCAUAGAUACCAUAAGGAACACCGAUAGCGAAGGCAUUGUACUGGGCGGCAACUGACGCUGAGGCACGAAAGCGUGGGUAGCGAACAGG
This 253-nucleotide ribosomal RNA is filed under the name uncultured bacterium. RNAcentral's name for it is "partial 16S ribosomal RNA". It matches the Rfam family "Bacterial small subunit ribosomal RNA", at positions 524 to 776 of the family's 1533-position model. The record is from RNAcentral.